CAAUAGCGUAUAUUUAAGUUGUUGCAGUUAAAAAGCUCGUAGUUGGAUUUCGGUUAAGAGCGACCGGUCCGCCGUUUGGUGUGCACUGGUUGGUUUUAACUUCCUGUAGAGGACGUGCUCUGGGUUUAACGACCUGGACUCGGAGUCUACGUGGUUACUUUGAAAAAAUUAGAGUGUUCAAAGCGGGCUUACGCUUGAAUAUUUCAGCAUGGAAUAACACUAUAGGACUCCUGUCCUAUUUCGUUGGUCUCGGGACGGGAGUAAUGAUUAAGAGGAGCAGUUGGGGGCAUUCGUAUUUCAUUGUCAGAGGUGAAAUUCUUGGAUUUAUGAAAGACGAACUUCUGCGAAANCANNNGCCAAGGAUGUUUUCAUNAA
This 375-nucleotide ribosomal RNA is filed under the name uncultured eukaryote. RNAcentral's name for it is "partial 18S ribosomal RNA". It matches the Rfam family "Eukaryotic small subunit ribosomal RNA", at positions 592 to 976 of the family's 1831-position model. The record is from RNAcentral.